This 199-nucleotide long non-coding RNA is filed under the name Linum usitatissimum (flax). Its description in RNAcentral is "long non-coding RNA (LUSI_LNC000002)". The record is from RNAcentral. Lineage: Eukaryota; Viridiplantae; Streptophyta; Magnoliopsida; Malpighiales; Linaceae.
CUUCCCCAGCUAACUUCCCGAAGCAGCACGUAACCGCCAUGGUUAAUUUCAUCUAAACACCUUUUGUACUCGUCUAAGCUUCGGUCGAAUUCAGUUUCACACUGUCACCUGCUUAGCUCCUUCUGAACAAAUCUUAUUGUCCCCCCUGCAAACAAACCCUACCUAGGGUUGCGGCAGAGCACCGUCAUGGCGGUUACUG